UUCGGAUUAGCUUGUUGGUGGGGUAACGGCCCACCAAGGCGACGAUCCGUAGCUGGUCUGAGAGGACGAUCAGCCACACUGGGACUGAGACACGGCCCAGACUCCUACGGGAGGCAGCAGUGGGGAAUCUUGCGCAAUGGGCGAAAGCCUGACGCAGCGACGCCGCGUGCGGGAAGAAGGCCUUCGGGUUGUAAACCGCUUUCAGGAGGGAAGAAGCUACUCGGGUUAAUAGCCCAGAGGGUGACGGUACCUCCAGAAGAAGCCCCGGCUAACUACGUGCCAGCAGCCGCGGUG
RNAcentral lists this ribosomal RNA (294 nucleotides) under uncultured bacterium. RNAcentral describes it as "partial 16S ribosomal RNA". It matches the Rfam family "Bacterial small subunit ribosomal RNA", at positions 235 to 522 of the family's 1533-position model. The record is from RNAcentral.